Callithrix jacchus (white-tufted-ear marmoset) is the source of this 11669-nucleotide non-coding RNA. The record is from RefSeq and is a predicted model, not a curated record. Lineage: Eukaryota; Metazoa; Chordata; Mammalia; Primates; Cebidae.
AGCAUUUAAGCAGGGUUGGGAAGAGUGGAUGCCAGGUGGGUAGGCAGAGAUUCGAGUUGUAUACGACCUUGAACGUGGAGAGGCAGCACAUAGCUUUGUGGAGAAACAAAGGCAAAUGAAUGGGACUGGUGUUUAGGAGUCUUUCCAGAAAAGGUGGAGAUCUUUGCACCUUGUGGGCAGCUGAGCUGGAGUAGUUCAGCUGGGAGACAUGGAUCCCUCUACUCUCUCUCCUCAUGACCUUGUUUGUUGAUAUGAGUUAGGAUUCUAGGAGCAAUGUUGGGACUGCUUGAAAUACACAGAAAAUUGCAAGUAAUAAUCAGGAAAAGGACCAGUUCUAGAAUCGUCUCUACUACCUACAAAAUCUCCUUAUCCUAGUUGGCUCCCUUUUCAGGCUUUCUGAAACACUCAGGCAGAUGUUUUUACCAUUCUGUUUUUGCACAGAAAUACCCACAGGUACACGGUGGGGUAAUUACAUUUCAGUGAUAUAGGUGGAGGCCCUUUCUUUUGUUCUUUCUUUCUUUUUUUUUGAGAUGGAGUUUCACUGUUGUUGCCCAGGCUGGAGUGCAAUGGCUCCAUCUCUGCUCACUGCAACCUUCACCUCCCAGGUUCAAGUGAUUCUCCUGCCUCAGCCUCCUGACUAGCUGGGAUUACAGUCGUGCGCCACCAUGUCUGGCUAAUUUUUGUAUUUUUAGUAGAGGCAGGGUUUUGCCAUGUUAUCUGAGCUGGUCUCAAACUCCUGACCUCAGAUGAUCUGCCCGCCUCAGCCUCCUAAAGUGCUGGGAUUGUGGGCAUGAGCCACCUCGCCCAGCUGACCCUUCCUUUAAUUGGCCAACAUAAUCAGACUCAUUAGACUCCGCCUGUAAUAUAAUUAUAUAAACUCUUCAUUGUAUAAUUCAUUUGGUAACAUAUGACUCCGUUUUUGUCAGGUUCAUAUUCUGAAGUCAUUUUUUGUUUUGUCAGAGAAGCAGGAGGGCAAUUUAGAUUAAUAGAUAUUUCCAGUUAGAAGAAUUCAGAUUAGCUAAAUCUGAUGAUGGCUGAAGAAAUGAGGCCUAGUUUGCCAGCUGUUAAACCCCUAGUGUCCCAUCAUCUCCUUUUCCACUGACCUUAACAUUGAAAACUAGGAAGCAACUUGCGUUUUUUCAAAGAAGAUGUUUAGGUAAGAUUUUUAGUCAGACUUUGGAAGCCUGACUUUUCUUCUUCUUCUUCCUUUUAUUUUUCUCUUUUUUUGAGACAGGGUCUUGCUCUGUCACCCAGGCUGGAGUGCAGUGGCAUGAUCCUGGCUCAAUGCAGCCUCCAUCUCCUGGGCUCAAGUGAUUCUCCCACCUCAGCCUCCUGAGUAGGUGGGACAACAGGCGUGUACCACCAACCCGGCUAAUUUGUUCACUUUUUGUGGAGACAGGGACUGGCUAUGUUGCCCAGGUUGGUCUUGAACUCUGGCUUGAGGAUCCUCCUGCCUCCGCCUCUUAAAGUGCUGGGAUUACAGGCAUGAGCCACUGCACCUGGCCCAGGAGCUUCACUUUUGCUUUGACUCUUGGUUGGCUCUGGACCUGAUUCAACCUACAAGGAACCUCUGGAACUUGUUUCUGUUUAACCACAAGAGUUCAUGGGUAGCGGUGUCCAUACUUUUGAAAAUGAAGCCAAUGCUCAGGCUUUGGAGAGUCAGCGAGAGAACCAACACUUUGCCUGCUCCUGGGCCUGGCCUUACCCUUUUUCUCUCAUUUAACCCUCUGAUGGCAGCAGCACAGGAGCAUUAGUGGCAGUGGUGUGUUAUUAUCCAUAUUUUGCAGAUGAAUACAUUGAGAUUCAAAAAGGUUAGGUAAUGUGCUCCAGGACACGCAACUAGUUAAUAGCCAAGUCAGAAGGAGAGCUUGGUGAAACCCAUUAUUUGUUUUUCCUUACUCUGCUUUUGCCUGUCACUAGUAUUUAAUCCAGCAAAAGGAAAAACAUUUCUUGAAAACAGAUCAAGUCAGCACUAUCAACUAAAUGAAAAAUCAGAGGCCGUUGACUUCCUAUAGAUGGUACCAGCUUCUAUUUCUCCAGCCUUAUUUUAACACAUAAAAUGUUCCCUAGUUCCAGGAAAAAAGAACAGCUCUGGGAGAUCAAGAAAAUAAAAGCUGAACUGCGGUCUAGAUUAGAGUGUUGGUAGGGUUUUCAGUGUGUGUGUGUGUGUGUGUGUUUGUGUUUAAAAUGUUAAUUUCAGAGUAAAGAAUUAAUAGAAGUAACAUUCCAUAAAUUCUAAUUAAAAAUUAAUCCCUUGUUUGUGUUCAAGGUAGUGGUCUCUGAACUCAAUAUAAGUCUGUUGGAAAGUUUGAACAAGGAAAAGUUCCUGAGAGCUGAGGGUUGCUAUCCAGAGACAGUUGUCAUUAUCUUCAUUUGAAACACUUGGUGACAUAGAUUCUAGAGUUUUUGUCUGUUUGGUUGUUUUUUUGAGAUGAAAUCUCCCUCUGUUGCCCAAGCUGGAAUGCAGUGGCAUGAUCUUGACUCAUCGCAACCUCUGCCUCCCAGAUUCCAGCAAUUCUCCUGCUUCAGCCUCCCAGGUAGCUGGGAUUACAGGUGCCCACCACCAGCACCAUGCCUGGCUAAUUUUUGUAGAGACGGGGUUUCACCAGGUUGGCCAGGCUUUUCAGGUGAUCGUCCCGCCUUGGCCUCCCGAUGUGCUGGGAUUACAGGUGUGAACCACCGCGCCCAGCCGAUUCUGCAGUUUUAGACUUAAAACGACUAUUGGAGAUUAUUUAUAAUCAAGCCAUUUUAUUUUAUAAUGAAGUCUAGAUCUGUAGAAGAUGCAGUUCAGUCGUCUACCUCAUGAGAAACUCUAGGCUAGAACCAGGUCUCUUUUAAGCCUCAAGGCGAUUCUAUUGUGUGGAAUUCUCCCUCCUCUGGGAUUCCUUGCUGGAAGAAAAUAUUCCCCCGAGGACCCAUGAGUAAAGCAAGUACUGUGGUUUUAGUCUCUAGUUGAAGGUGGCUGGGGACUCUGACUUUGUGUCUACUUAGUGGGACACAUAGGGUAGCCCCAUUGGAAGCUACUGGAAGGGUGACCCACCUCCUUCCCCAGCCACUCCUUGGUCCCAGGGAGUCACCUGCUCAUCAAGGAGGCUCCUUGGAGCACAGUCUGAAGAUCACCCUGCACCCGCCACCCUCACCCCAGAGGGUGUUAGUAAAAUGAGUGUCUCUCCAGAGGCGCUGCUAAUAUCUAAGGCAGGAAUGCUUUUGUUUUCAAUGCUUUCUUUACUGUUUAACAACAGUUCUUGCUCAGCAUCUCCCGUUCUGACUGCAUUCACAUUAAUGUGUGUACUUUUGGGGAUUGAUCUGUAGUCUUUGGGGAUUUGGUGCACAACGCAGAAAAAUAGAAACACUUCGCUCCUCUCCCAGAAAAGAGAAAGGAAAGAAAAGAAAAACAGCUUUUUCAUACAGAGUAUUCUUUUGUUCUUUGCCCUGGCAGGGAACCAGUGCACUUCAUCCGGGCUCCCCCAGGGUCCCCGGAGAGUUUUGUUGCGCACAUUUCUGAGAAGGGAUUUGGGAUGAGGGGUGGCGCCGGCUCUGGAAUGGCAUGAAUAGAGAUGCCGAAAUGUCGAACAGUGCUCCCUGUUCUCUGCUUUAAACCAUUGUCGUUGGAUGCCGUAGGUCACGCCUGUAAUCCCAAGACUUGGAGGCUGAGGCGGGCGGAUUGCCUCAGCACAGGAGUUUUCGACCAGCCUGGGUAACACGGUGAAACUCCGUCUGUACUAAAAUUCAAAAAAUUAGCCAGGCGUGGUAGUGCACACCUAUAAUCCCAGCUACUCGGGAGGCUGAGGCGUGAGAAUAGCUUGAACCCAAGAGGCGGAGGCUGCAGUGACCUGAGAUUGCGCCACUGCACUCAGCCUGGGCGACAGAGCCAGACUCUGCUUCAAAACAAACAAACAAAUAAGCGAAACAACAACAAAACACACACCAUUUUCCUGAAAGGCAUCUGCAAACAUAUCAAGGCAGAAAUUAUUGAAAGGAAGAGAUUUUAAGGUUGCUGUUGGCAUAGUAGCUCUGUCUGGUAUAAAAAUCUUAUUCUGAAUAAGAUAAUUGUAUAAAAAGUUUUCUCAAGAAUGAGCACGAUUUUGAUGUUGUUUUUAUUUAAGUUUUCUGUUGAGAAGGGACCACGGUCAGGGUCAUGAGUGUGAUUUCUAGGCGAUCCAGGUAGUUUCCUUGGCUUGUUCCACAGCCAGGGGACAGUGGAGGUUUGCCCAGCUGUCUUGCAAAGCUCCGUUUUUUGUCAUAACCGGCACAGGGAAAGGAGGGCGGGUUAAUAGGUUUGUGCAAACCUUUCAACACUAAUGGAACAGACAAGGAGCAGAUGCUGUCCUUCUGGCUGGUCAGUGAAAUUGACUCUGUCCGUGAAGGACGCUGUAUUUUCCCAGUGACUUGGGUGGGACUACCAGACACAGGAAACAGAUUCAGGGAGCAGGAAAGCAAACUGUUGUUAACAAAACCCUGGUUAAAAGUAGGUAGUAAUUGAGUAGGUAGUAAUUGGCCAGGCACGGUGGCUCAUGCCUGUAAUCCCAGCACUUUGGGAGGCCAAGGCAGGUGGAUCACGAGGUCAGGAGUUUUAGACCAGCCUGGCCAAUAUGGUGAAAUCCUGUCUCUACUAAAAAUACAAAAAUUAGCUGUGUGCCUAUAGUCCCAGCUGCUCGGGAGGCUGAGGCAGGAGAAUCGCUUGAACCUGAGAAGCAGAGGUUGCAGUGAGCUGAGAUCGCACCACUGCACUCCAGCCUGGGCGACAGAGCAAGACUCUGCCUCAAAAAUAAAUAAAUAAAUAAACAAACAAACAAACAUAAAUAAAUAAAAAGUAGGUAGCAGUUAACUUUUGUUUUUUCUUACUGUGAUAGGGAGGAAGUUUCUAAGGCUCUUACAAGUCAGUUUAGAAACCUUGUGUCUGAUUGCAUGAGUGUGAGUGAUAUUCCAAAGCUAAGUAACUAAUUCAUUUCAGAAAGGCUGUUGUUUUAGGUGAAUGGAGAAUAUUAUUUAUUGUAGACAUUAAAAUAAAUUAAUGUUUUUUCCCUUCUCUUUCCCUUUCCUUUCCCCUUUCCUUCUCUUCUCUCCCCUCUCCCUCUUCCUGUCCUCCCCUUUCCCCUCUCCUUUUCCCUCUCACCUCUCCCUCUCCCCCCUCCCCUCUCCCUUCUCCCCCUCCCCUCUCCCCGCUUCCCUCUCCACUCUUGCUCUUGUCACCCAGACAGGGGUGCAGUGGCGGUAUCUCGGCUCACUGCAACCUCCACCUCCCAGGUUUCAAGCAAUUCACGUACCUCAGCCUCCUGAGUAGCUGGGAUUACAUGUGCCUGCCACCACGCCCAGCUAAUUUUUUUGUUGUUGUAUUUUUAGUAGAGGUGGGGUUUCACUAUGUUGGCUAGGCUGGUCUCAAACUCCUGACCUUGUGAUCUUCCUGCCUCGGCCUUCCAAAGUGCUGGGAUUACAGGGUGAGCCACUGUGCCCAGCCUAGAAUAAAUUAAUACACUUUAAACAUUCAACCUCUUUAAGUGCUUCCCCCUCCUACAGAUGUGUAUGUAUGGGAUGGGGAGGGGGAAACCACAACGUUUUAAGUUUAUAAAAAUAUAAAAGUGUAUGCACAAUGACAGGCAGUAAAUGUGUUUUUCAGGAGCAGUAAUUACUGGAAAGGUACGUCUAGGUUCAUUGCUUUAGCGGCCUGAGUGAGACUGCAGCACCCGGGCUGGCUCCUGUGGGCUUUGGCCUGCUUUCUGUUGCCUGGAGGUCUGUAGUGUCAGGCAAGUCUGAAAACUUUUUUUGAAAACUAAGUAACACUUUUGCCCCAGUUCAGAGAAACAGACUGAGUUCUAGAAAUCAGCUAACUUGAGGCCUGGCGCGGUGGCUCAUGCCUGUAAUCCCAGCACUUUGGGAGGCCGAGGCGGGUGGAUCACAAGGUUAAAAGAUCGAGACUAUCCUGGUCAACAUGGUGAAACCCCGUCUCAACUAAAAAAUACAAAAAAUUAUCUGGGCAUGGUGGCGUGGGCCUGUAAUCCCAGCUACUCAGGAGACUGAGGCAGGAGAAUUGCCUGAAUCCAGGAGGCGGAGGUUGCGGUGAGCCAAGAUCGCCAUUGCACUCCAGCCUGGGUAACAGGAUCAAAACUCCGUCUUAAAAAAAAGAAAUCAGCUAACUUGUAGUGAGAAGCUUUCAUGUCUCUUUAACAAAUUCAGCCCACUGGGAGAGGGAAAGAAUUUCAGACUAGAAAUAAGGCAUUUUGUGGUAUUCCCAAGUGAGGAUUUUUCCUGUAGGUUCCAAGGAGGAUGAAACCUUGGAUUUAAAACGGACAAACCAAUCGUAUCUGGAAAAUGUAAAGUUGUCUAGAAAAAUUAUCUUGGAAGCUUUACUUUUUGUGCUAUGCAACCUCGAAUUUGCAAAUAGCAUCCAAAUCAUUCAAAUGAACAAGGGUCGCAAGGCUGCACACCGCCAGGGGGCACCAUUUACAUGGGACCCAGUGGGAAGACAGCAGUGUGAUGGCCUGCAAUUGACCAACCUGCCUUUUACCGCCCUUUCAUGCUCCUAACCCCUACUGCUGUCCUGGGUUAGAACUUGACAGUUUAUACCAAACUCGUGUGUUUGUAAGUGAAACAUCACACCCUUAGCAUCGUCUUUCCUGACACUCCAUCUACAGCAGCUUUCCUCAUCUAAAAUAGCUUUCCCCUGGCUGGGUGCAGUGGUUUACACCUGUAACCCCUGCACUUUGGGAGGCCGAGGAGGAUGGGUCACUAGAGGUCGGGAGUUUGAGACCAGCCUGGCCAACAUAGUGAAACCCCAUCUCUACUAAAAACCUAAAAAUUAGCUGGUAAUGGUGGUAGUGCCCCUGUAAUCCCAGCUACUCGGGAGACUGAGGAAGGAGAAUUGCUUGAACCUGGGAGGUGGAGGUUGCACUGAGCUGAGAUCGAGGCUAUACUCCAGUCUGGGUGACAGAGUGAGACUCCAUCUCAAAAUAAAAUUAAAAAAAAAAAAAUAGCUUUCUUUUAAUAUUCUCCCUGAUCAUUUCCCCUGUCAUCUACCUCUCCACACCUGUUUAUUCCUUCAUAGCAUUUAUCGAAAUUUGUACUUACUGUGUUUACUUGUUUGUUAUCUGUUGCCGUCGUUAUCUUUUCAACAUGUAAUCCACAUGAGAAAACACUGAUAUGAUCUUUUAUUUAUUUUCACACUGAGUCUAUGAAAUCGAGUGUGUAUUUUCUGUGGACAUACAUCUUAAUUUGCACUGGCCACCCUGCAGUGCUCAAGGACCAUGAAUGGCUUGUGGCUGCCAUAUUGGAUAGUAUGGCUCUGGUGCUUAAACUUAGGGUCCACACUUGGGAAAUACUUGCUGAGAGAAUGGAUAGGAAGCUGAAAAAAAUGGAAACCUUCUUAGGAACCCUGAUCCUCUAUGUCCUAAAAAAUCGUUUAAAACUUUUUCACUUACAUUUUAUACUGCUUGAAAUUUUACCAAUUAGAGAUUCUUUUGUAUUUAAAAUAUCUUCAUUUAAAAAAUUCCUUAGUGAUACCCCUGAGAAGUUUGAAAUCAGUCAUAUAUAUCUUGGAGUUACUGUAAUCAGACUGCUUUCCUCCUACCUCCCAGAAGAGGGUGUAUAUUAGUUUUCUUUCCUUUUCUUUUUUUCAUUUUGAGAUGGAGUCUUGCUCUUGCAUCCAGGCUGGAGUACAAUGGCGUGAUCUUGGGUCACUGCAACCUUCGCCUCCUGGGUUCAAAUGAUUCUCCUGCCUCAGCCUCCCGAGUAGCUGGGAUUACAGAUGCUCACCACCACGUGUAGCUAAUUUUUGUAUUUUUAGUAGAGAUGAGGUUUCACCUUGUUGGCCAGGCUGAUCUUGAACUCUUGACCUCAGAUGAUCCACCCGCCUUGGCCUCCCAAAGUUCUGGGGUUACAGGGGUGAGCCACCAUGCCUGGUCUCUUUUCUUUUUUUUGUUUGAGACAUAGUCUUGCUCUGUUGCCCAGGCUGGAGUGCAGUGGCAUGAUCUCAGCUCACUGCAACCUCUGCCUCUUGGGUUUAAGCAAUUCUCCACCUCAGCUUCCCUAGUAGCUGGGACUACAGGCGUGCACCACCACACCGGGGAAAUUUUUGUAUUUUUAGUGGAGACGGGGGUCUCACCGUGUUGGCCAGGCUGGUCUUGAACUCUUGACCUCACGUGAUCCACCCACCUCGGCUUCCCAAAGUGAGCCACUGUGCCUGGCCAUAUAUUAGUUUUCUAUUGCUGUGUUACAAGAUCACAAACUCAGUGGCUUAGAACAACACGCAUUUAUUAGCGCACAAAUUCUGUAGCUCAGAAGUCUGGGUUUGGCAUGGCUGGAUUCUCUGCUCAGGGUCUCAUAGGCUAACGUCACAGUGUCAGCCAGCCUGCCUCUCUGGAGCUUGGAGUUGUCUUCAGGGCUCACACUGCUGUUGGCAGAAUCAGAAUGCAGUUCCUUGCAGUCUAUCAGUUAGAGGCUGGUUCCUAGAGGCCACCUGCCAUGCCCUGCCCUGUGGCCCUCUCCACAGCAUGGCAAUUUGCUUUUGCAAGUCCAGUGGGAGAGAUUCUACUGCAACUUCAGAUCUUUACCACUUGCUGUCUCUUAUUUCCCGACUCCUUUCCAAAAGGGCUUACCAGUCAGUGGGAAGCUUGGAGGCCGUUCUGCCUCUCUUAGGGAUAUUAGCUGAAUCCAGUUUCCAGUGGAAGAGAGAAGUAUUAUUUCUUGAGUCUGGAAAACAGGGCUAUGGAAGUUGCAGACUGACAUAAGGACACCAUCUAUUCACAGAUACUCUAUUGAACUCCUGCCCUUUGCCGGGUGCUGGGCCUGGAGUGGCUAACAAGGCAGGUAGAUCCCUGCCCUCUUGGAACUCCUAGGCCCGAGGACACUGGAGAGGUUUUAUUGCCAUUUAAAAAUAGAUGGCCGGGCACGGUGGCUCAAGCCUGUAAUCCCAGCACUUUGGGAGGCCGAGGCGGGUGGAUCACGAGGUCAACAGAGCGAGACCAUCCUGGUCAACAUGGUGAAACCCCAUCUCUACUAAAAAUACAAAAAAUUAGCUGGGCAUGAUGGCGUGUGCCUGUAGUCCCAGCUACUCAGGAGGCUGAGGCAGGAGAACUGCCUGAACCCAGGAGGCGAAGGUUGCGGUGAGCUGAGAUCGCGCCAUUGCACUCCAGCCUGGGUAACAAGAGCGAAACUCCGUGUCAAAAAAAACAAAAAAAGAAAAAGAUGAUGGCCAUGGUUACACAGCUCUGUAAGUGCAUCAGGAAUCACUGAAUUGGUAGGUAAAGUACAUCUCAAUAAAGUUGUUUUUGAGAAAGAAAAGUGCUUACAGAUUUGUUGGAGCAGAAUAGAUACCCAUGUUCAGAGAGAGAGAGAGAGAGAGCAAGAGUGCACUGUUGAGAGGCAGAGAGUGCUGAAUUUGAAUUCUGCGUAAAUGGAAAGGUUACCAUCCCCGUCCUUAAGGAGAUGGCUCUGGUUGUCUUGAAUUUAGAUAGCCUUCCAGGGAAGGAGGUUCUCUUCUGCAGCAGUGUGGGGAAAAAAUCUGCCAGAUUUGGGCCAGAAUGACUGCAAUUUAGGGUCAGGACAUGAUACUUAGAGGGAAAAAAGUAAUCAUGGCUUGAAUAGCUGCCCUAAGGCUAGCUACAGGGCUGCAGGGGUCCGGGGAACCUUCCUUGUCAGAGCUAAGGAUCCUUAGGAGUUCCUAUAAGGGGACGGAGGCUGUGGCUAUCAUGAGUGGAAGAACCAGCUCCGGGAGGAACCCAGGAUUGUUCUGGCUCUGACUCCAGGUGCAUGUCUCUGCUUUCUGUGAGCAUUGAAUGGGAAAUCACGUGUUAGUAGAAUAAAUCCCAGAAUAUACAUUCAGGGAGAGAUGGUUCCACAUGGCACAUAAGUCCUUUGUAUGUCUGGCAGAUGUCCUUAAGCCUUCUUCCCAUCAAGGGCUUUAUUCUGACGGUGGCUAACUGGCUAUUUAAACCCCAUCUCAAUAGUGUCUGUCUAGGAUGGCAAAAAUCACACCAGGUUUUGCUGGGCAAAUCUCCCAAGUGGCAUUUGCUAGAGGAGAGCCCCACUGCAGGAGGCACACUGUCUUGGCCAUUGGCUUUGCACGCCAUAGUGGAGGAAGGAGUUUGGGGUCACCAACCACUUCGUGGCUGACUGCCUGAGCCACAUUUUACAAGACUGUUUUUUGACUUAUAAAUACUGAACCAGAGCUCACCAAGAUUUUGACAUCAAGCAAUAAAGUGACUCAUUCUUUCAUUUCCCAGCAUUUUGACAAAAGCGGCCUCUCUUAAAACUCCUCAUCGGACGUUUGUGGAAGUCGACUCAUGCAUCUAAACAUGUAGCCAACGCACCAUCAGCAGAGAUGUUAGCUCAUGAGCACCUCUGAGUUUCUCAAAAUUAGUAUCUGAAAAUGAUGGGAACAGACAGGCGGCACCAUGUCUUUGGCACAUUUUGUUGAAAACUUAAAAUUCUUCGGGUGGAGGUAAGCAAAUUGGAAGGUAUUACAAAUGAUCAACAUGUACUAUUCAGAGUUAUGGAUUUACCCUUCCAUCUGAGAUGCCUGUGCCUUGGAAACCCCCUGCUCACUUUUAAGUAGCAGUGCCUCCAGAUCCAGUUUCUAAGCUACACAUGCAGAUUAACAUUAUUCUUUUAUAGUCACACUGCAUGUGGACUAAAAUAAUUUUUUUUAAGAGACCAGGUCUCACCAUGUUGCCCAGGCUUGUCUCAAACUCACGAGUUCAAGUGAUCUACCGGCCUUGGCCUCCCGAAGUGCUGGGAUCAUAGGUGUGAGCCACUGCGUCUAGCUGAAAUAAAUAUUUUAGGAUUUAACAUGGUUAUUAUUUUGAAAAUGGAACUCUAAAAGACUUUUCAAAAUUCAAAAUGAUAAAGAACGUUAAAAAUAAAAAAGCACCCCAAAACCUGCCUUAGGUUCUGCAGGGGAGAUUCAGAAAUGUUUUGCUUUGUAUCAGCUCUAUUGAAAUAAAUAUAUUGUUACCUAAAAGGACAUUAUUUGAACAAGACUGCACUUAAUUGGAUGUGUAUAUCCUGGUCAGUUUAUUAUUAAUGUUUAUUGUGUUUUUUUUUUUUGAGACAGAGUCUUGCUCUGUCACCAGGCACCAGGCUGGAGUGCAGUGGCUCAAUCUUGGCUCACUGCAAUCUUUGCCUCCUGGGUUCAAACAAUUCUCCUGCCUCAGCCUCCCAAGCAGCUGGGACUACAGGUGCACGCCACCACACCCAGCUAAUUUUUAUAUGUUUUAGUAGAAACAGGGUUUCACCAUGUUGGCCAGGAUGAUCUCGAUCUCUUGACCUUGUGAUCUGCCCGCCUCCGCCUCCCAAAAUGCUAGCAUUACAGGCAUGAGCAACUAUGCCUGGCCUAAUGUUUAUUGUUUUUAAAAAAAUGUGCUAAAUGACCAGGCGUGGUGGCUUACGCCUGUUAAUCCUAGCACUUUGGGAGGUAAAGGCAGGUGGAUUACUUGAGGUCAGGAGCUGGAAAGCAGCCUGGCCAACAUGGUGAAACCCUGUUUCUACUAAAAAAUACAAAAAUGUUAGCUGGGGUGGUGGUGCACACUUGUAAUCUCAGCUACUCGGGAGGCUGAGGCAGGAGAAUUGCUUGAACGGAGGAGGCAGAGGUUGCAGUGACUGGAGAUCACACCACUGCACUCCAGCCUGGGCUCCAGAGCAAGACUCCACCUCAACAACAACAACAACAACAACAA